GAUGAACGCUAGCGGCAGGCUUAACACAUGCAAGUCGAGGGGUAGAGGAAGCUUGCUUCCUUGAGACCGGCGCACGGGUGCGUAACGCGUAUACAAUCUACCUUUUACAGAGGGAUAGCCCCAGAGAAAUUUGGAUUAAUACCUCAUAGUAUUUUCGGAUCGCAUGAUUUGAUUAUUAAAGUUCCAACGGUAAAGAUGAGUAUGCGUCCCAUUAGCUAGAUGGUAAGGUAACGGCUUACCAUGGCAAUGAUGGGUAGGGGUCCUGAGAGGGAGAUCCCCCACACUGGUACUGAGACACGGACCAGACUCCUACGGGAGGCAGCAGUGAGGAAUAUUGGACAAUGGGCGCAAGCCUGAUCCAGCCAUGCCGCGUGCAGGAAUAAGGUCCUAUGGAUUGUAAACUG
RNAcentral lists this ribosomal RNA (404 nucleotides) under uncultured bacterium. RNAcentral describes it as "bacterial SSU rRNA". It matches the Rfam family "Bacterial small subunit ribosomal RNA", at positions 28 to 432 of the family's 1533-position model. The record is from RNAcentral.